UGGCACCUCGAUGUCGGCUCAUCACAUCCUGGGGCUGAAGUCGGUCCCAAGGGUAUGGCUGUUCGCCAUUUAAAGUGGUACGCGAGCUGGGUUUAGAACGUCGUGAGACAGUUCGGUCCCUAUCUGCCGUGGGCGUUGGAGAAUUGAGGGGGGCUGCUCCUAGUACGAGAGGACCGGAGUGGACGAUCCGCUGGUGUUCCAGUUGUCAUGCCAAUGGCAUUGCUGGGUAGCUACGAUCGGGAAGGAUAACCGCUGAAAGCAUCUAAGCGGGAAACCUGCCCCAAGAUAAGUUCUCCCUAGACUUUAAGUCUUCUGAAGGGCCGUUAAAGACGAUGACGUUGAUAGGCAAGGUGUGGAAGUUCAGUAAUGGAUGAAGCUAACUUGUACUAAUUACCCGUGAGGCUUAACUAUACAACUCAAAAG
RNAcentral lists this ribosomal RNA (423 nucleotides) under Piscirickettsiaceae bacterium CG_4_8_14_3_um_filter_44_38. RNAcentral's name for it is "bacterial LSU rRNA". It matches the Rfam family "Bacterial large subunit ribosomal RNA", at positions 2519 to 2925 of the family's 2925-position model. Lineage: Bacteria; Pseudomonadati; Pseudomonadota; Gammaproteobacteria; Thiotrichales; Piscirickettsiaceae. The record is from RNAcentral.